This 72-nucleotide transfer RNA is filed under the name Camelus bactrianus (Bactrian camel). It matches the Rfam family "tRNA". From Rfam's summary of the family: Transfer RNA (tRNA) molecules are approximately 80 nucleotides in length. Their secondary structure includes four short double-helical elements and three loops (D, anti-codon, and T loops). Further hydrogen bonds mediate the characteristic L-shaped molecular structure. tRNAs have two regions of fundamental functional importance: the anti-codon, which is responsible for specific mRNA codon recognition, and the 3' end, to which the tRNAs corresponding amino acid is attached (by aminoacyl-tRNA synthetases). tRNAs cope with the degeneracy of the genetic code in two manners: having more than one tRNA (with a specific anti-codon) for a particular amino acid; and 'wobble' base-pairing, i.e. permitting non-standard base-pairing at the 3rd anti-codon position. RNAcentral also lists the same sequence under 3 other names. The record is from Rfam by way of RNAcentral. Lineage: Eukaryota; Metazoa; Chordata; Mammalia; Artiodactyla; Camelidae.
GUAUAUAUAGCUCAGUGGUAGAGUGUGUGCCUAGCAUGCAUGAAGUCCUGGGUUCAAUCCCCAGUACCUCCA